UUUUAAUACCAAAUAAGUUACUGUUUAUAACAUUUGAUCCCUGAAUUUGUACCUUUUGCAGAUUAUACUUUGUUCAUCCAUGAAACAUUUCCAUGGAUCUAAGAAAGAUACAAUCCUUGGAGAGCUAUAUAAAUCUUACUCUGAGUUAUGCAAAUCAUCACUGAUUCCCCCAACAGGAAUCUUGGAAUUCUCAAACAUGUGCAGAGUGCUUAAUGACCAGGGGCUAAUUAAACUAGGACCAUCACGAGAGGAUAAAUUGAAAAGGGUAACACUAAAAGUUAACAAGGCUGAUAUUACUUUUGCAUUGC
Arachis duranensis is the source of this 308-nucleotide long non-coding RNA. RefSeq lists it as uncharacterized. The transcript has 3 exons. The record is from RefSeq and is a predicted model, not a curated record. NCBI's taxonomy places the organism in Eukaryota, Viridiplantae, Streptophyta, Magnoliopsida, Fabales, Fabaceae.